AUUUUGUAUAAUCAUCAUUCACCAUGAAACCAAUGAAUAGGUACAAAAAAGUACGUCGAAUUAGGCUUUAAUAACUAUUUACUGUUUACGAAUUUACCGGAAGUGAAAACCUCACUACUGCAUCGAAACAAAAAAUAAAAAGUAAACUCCCACUGCGAGACUCGAACUCGCAACCUUCCGGUUAAAAGCCGGACGCUCUAAGCCGAUUGAGCUAAACGGGACUUGGUUGAAUGGG
Schizosaccharomyces pombe (fission yeast) is the source of this 235-nucleotide non-coding RNA. The record is from the annotation of a GenBank genome assembly. Lineage: Eukaryota; Fungi; Ascomycota; Schizosaccharomycetes; Schizosaccharomycetales; Schizosaccharomycetaceae.